RNAcentral lists this long non-coding RNA (202 nucleotides) under Gossypium raimondii (Peruvian cotton). RNAcentral describes it as "long non-coding RNA (GRAI_LNC005263)". The record is from RNAcentral. Lineage: Eukaryota; Viridiplantae; Streptophyta; Magnoliopsida; Malvales; Malvaceae.
UCUUCCAUUUGAGUUUUUGUUUGCUUCAUUAGUUGAAAAUCGAGAUUAAAAAUAUUAGUUUUUUCAUUGUUCAGAAGGAAGCAAAUUUUUUUUAAGAUGAGUUCUAAAAUUUUGUUUGUUUAUGUUCAUUUCGAUAGAGAAAUGAUAAAUACAACUGAAGAAGGCUAUGUAUUUUAAAGUCGGGAAAAAAUAGGAAUAAGAU